Molecule: ribosomal RNA, 460 nt
Filed under: uncultured bacterium
Lineage: Bacteria
Description: partial 16S ribosomal RNA
Rfam family: Bacterial small subunit ribosomal RNA
Source: RNAcentral
CCUACGGGUGGCAGCAGUGAGGAAUAUUGGUCAAUGGACGAGAGUCUGAACCAGCCAAGUCGCGUGAAGGAUGACUGCCCUAUGGGUUGUAAACUUCUUUUAUAUGGGAAUAAAAUGUUCCACGUGUGGGAUUUUGUAUGUACCAUAUGAAUAAGGAUCGGCUAACUCCGUGCCAGCAGCCGCGGUAAUACGGAGGAUCCGAGCGUUGUCCGGAUUUAUUGGGUUUAAAGGGAGCGUAGGUGGAUUGUUAAGUCAGUUGUGAAAGUUUGCGGCUCAACCGUAGAAUUGCAGUUGAAACUGGCAGUCUUGAGUACAGUAGAGGUGGGCGGAAUUCGUGGUGUAGCGGUGAAAUGCUUAGAUAUCACGAAGAACUCCGAUUGCGAAGGCAGUUCACUGGACUGCAACUGACACUGAGGCUCGAAAGUGUGGGUAUCAAACAGGAUUAGAUACCCGAGUAGUC